This is an RNA transcript of Alligator mississippiensis (American alligator), 9894 nucleotides long. RefSeq lists it as uncharacterized. NCBI's taxonomy places the organism in Eukaryota, Metazoa, Chordata, Crocodylia, Alligatoridae. The record is from RefSeq and is a predicted model, not a curated record. The transcript is spliced from 11 exons.
CUGCUCACCCGCUGUCUCCUUCCUUUCUUCCCUGCAGAUCGGAUGCUCCUCGGAUGCCGCCCGCCCCCCCCAUCCCAACGGGCCUCCCCCCAGACUGGAUCCAGCUUCAGAUCCAACUGGGUUACGUGUUAUAACCACGGUGAUUUGGUCAGAUAUGGGUUGUGAUAUCAUAUAUAAAGUCGAGCCUGUCCCGAGGCCACCACAACUGUUGAGGCACCUGGAUGCGGCACAUUAUUAGCGAUGCUUCAGGCAGAGGGACCUGGCGGCACCCAGCUUCUCAGCAGGUAGGGCCUCCUGUUGGUUCACAGGGAGCUUGGCCACCCUGGCAUGGCCAGUGAUUUUAGUUGUGCAUGGUAUGCGCACCCCACUCCUGCCCCGGGUGACCUGGGGGAGGCGGUGCCAGGUUAGUCGCCAACAACCUGGCCAUGGAAUGGGCUGUGCUGGCGGAAAGGGACUGAAGAGCGGGUGGGAGAGGCCUGGCAGAGUGUGUGUGUAUUGGUAGUUAUAUAGCUCUAGUGAUAGCCCUGGCUGGCCAGCUAGAUAGCUCUGGCUGGCUGGCUAGAUGGUUAUAAUAAAAUGUAGGCAGAAUAAUCCAUGUUCUCAUCAGUGAGGACCUGGGACCCAAUACCCCUAACAAGGCCGCGUCAUGGUGUUACUGUGUUGACAGCAAUCAUGUGCAUAGCAAUAGGUGCUUUUAAGUGUGAUGUGAACAGAUUGAUCAGGCAGCCGUUCUCACGUGUGUCCCAGGGCAAACAAGGCCUGUGGUCCCUCAGGCCAGCUGCCACUGGUCUCGGCCUCUCGGGGUUUUCUCGGUCUUCCCAGGCUCUCAGGGUUUUCAGGGAACCGAAGUUUGUCUGUGAGCACAUUUGCAAACCCGUGCACGUGCAUCUGUUCACCUGGGUCUAAUCUGACCCCACGUGCCGCCCCCUGGUCGUAGCAGCCAUGGCUCUUCUCCAACACCGCAGUUCUUAGCAGGGGUGUGUGCAGUGGUGUGUGCAGAGCUGACAGAGCUCUGUUUUUGUGUGCACGUGUGCAUAGUCCUCUUUUAUCUACCUGCCUGCGUAUCCACCUACUUGCCUGCUUAACUAGCUACCUACCUACCUGCUUGCUUGCCUAUCUACCUACUUGUCUACCUUCCUGCCUGCCUGUCUACCUAUCUAAAUCCAUAUACCUAUAUAUGUCUCCCCCUGUAUCUCUCUCUAGAUUGAUAGAUGAGACGUCACCGCAUCUCUGCAGUUAUCCGUGUACAUAGUCAUAUAUAAAUCUCUCUCUCUAUAUACACAUACAUGCAGCUACCUGCGUAUAACCCUGCAUAUAUCUGUGUGCGCGUGUGUACAGAUAGAAAUAUAGACAUCUCUGUUUCUAUUUCUAUCUAUCUAUCCAUCCCUCUGUCAACCUAGGCAGACCAACACAGAUGGGUAGAGAGAUAUUGUAUAUUCUCGCUCUUUUUAUAGAGAGAUGAUACAUAUUCAACUCAGUCUGGCAGUAAGUAACUUUCCACAUUAAUACAUGUUAAUCUAGUCCUGUUGAUUUGAAUCUCCAGUGUUGUCUAGCACAGGGGCGGGCAAUUAUUUCAGGCAGAGGGCAGCUAACUGAAUUUUGGCAACCCAUCAAGGGCCACAUGGCAGGCAGCCAGGGGCAGAUUAAUAUUAAUUUUCUAAAUUUUUUAGGGGCCCUGCGGGCUGGCUACAAUGGCCUGGCAGGCUGCAUCUGGCCCACGGGCUGCAUUUUGCCCACCCCUUGUCUAACAUCUGUAUGUGCGCGCACGUGUGUGUGUAUAGCAAUCUAUAUCAAUAUAUCUAAUAAUCUGUCCGCAUACAUGUAUAUGAAUCCGCAUAUACACACGUAUAUUUAUACAUGAAUGUAUACGGAUCCUGAUAGACAUACGUAUAUUUAUACGUGUAUGUAUAUGGCUCUAGAUACACACGUAAAAAUAUACAUAUGCAUAUAUGGAUCGAGGUACACACAUGUGUAUUUAUACAUGUAUGUAUAUGUUUAUAUCUGUGCCUAGGUACACAUACGUGUAGAUAUGUGCGCGCGCACACACACAUCUAGAUUAAUAUAUGUAUACAUGCAUAUAUGUAGGUAGAUUAUUAGGUAUAUUGAUGUGGGUAGCUUUGUACAUGUAUAUGUGCACACACAGAUAUAUGAGAGAUGGCUACAAAUUAGGAUAUAUAUGUUAAUGUAAUUGUGCUGUGUGUAUUGUACAUAUAUUUAUAUAUCUAUUAGGUAUAUAUCUAUAUACAUGUAUGUGUAUAUGUGUACCUACAUAUAGCACACACAGAGGUUGAUCUAUCUGUAUUCUGCAUAGUCUGCAUGUGUAUGUAUUUAUAUACAUAUGCAUGCAUUUGUUUGUGCAUCUGUGUGUAUUAUACAUGUAACAUGCAGGGGUUUAUACAUAUGCUGAUACUUUUGUGUGUGUGAGUAUAUAUACCUGUGUGUGUGUAAAAUGCAUAUAUACAUAUAUCAACCUCUGUGUUAUGCAUGUGUGUGUAUAAUAUGCACAUAUAUUCAUGUAUACAGUGUGUGUAGUAUAUAUCUAUUAUACCUACACACACACACACUGGUAUAGGUAUAUGUGUGUAUAUAGGUGUAUGUAUGUAUGUAUACGUGUGUGCGUGCAUGUGUGUGUGUAUUCAUUCUGCAUUGUGUGCAUGGUGUGUGUAUAUAUACAUGCAUACACGCACGUGUGUACACAUGCAUGUGCACGUGUGUACAUAUAACAUGCAGGUUGAUAUAUGUAUAUUUUACAUAUAUAUCAACAUAUGAUAUUUGCAAAAUAUACAAGCCCUGUGUAUCAAAUAUGAUAUUUGCAAAAUAUUACAUUGCAAAAUAUACAUAUACACACAUGGGAGUGUGUAUUAUCUAUAUAUAUUAUAAUACACACAGGUCAAUAUAUGCAUGUUCUAUGCAUGUGCACACACAAACACAUGCACGCACACAGACACACUCAGAUGCUCUCGCAUACACAUGCACACUCAUACAAACACACAUACACACCCACACACCAACUCCCACACACACGCAGAUUGCUAUAUGUAUAUUUUGCAUACUCUGUGUGUGGGGGGGGGUGUAUUAUAUACAUAUAUUAUAAUACACACAGAGGUCAAUAUAUGUAUGUUCUACGCACGCACACACACAAAUGCAUGCACGUGCACAAACACACUCACACAAAUGCGCUCAUGAUGUCAUGCGCCCUCGGCUGCCAAGCUGUGCUGCGAGAUCAUCGCUGCUCUGCUAAAGAGCCAGGCAAGGCGCAGGUCCACCCACCGCCUGCGCACAACACCCGCGCCUGCCGGUCGCCAUAAACCCGUAGAUCCGAACUUGCGGUCGCUCCUCGUGCAAGCUCGACUCUGUGGGUCUGUGUCGGCCUCGGCCUUGACAUCGGGACGCUCCAGCCCACCCCCCCACCCGGAGCUUGGCCACGCCCCCUGGCCUGAAGGCUCAGCUCACCGAUCCACUGAGCCCACCAGAUCGUCUGGCUCCACCCACCUGCCCGCAGACUCCGCCUACCUGUCUUUCUGGUCCCUGCUGGCUCCACCCAGCCUGGGCCUUGCUGCCUAGCUCCGCCCACCACUCUGCUAGCCCCACCCCCUCCAGCUGGCUCCACCCCCUGCUGUUGGGUGGGGGCCGGGGUGAGGUAGUAGGUUGUAUGGUUUAGAGUCACACCCCCGGAGAUAACUGUACAGCCUCCUAGCUUUCCCCGCGCCCCCCCAGUGCCUCCCAGUGCUUCCCAGUACCAGCCUGCGAUCCCCACAGGCAUUGCAGCUCACACCGAGGUGAGUGAUGGGACAAGGAAGGGGGGUGGAUUGUGGAGUUGUGUUGCGUUGCAUAGCUUUUCAGGGGGGUGGAGGGGGUUGUGGAUCUCCUGUGUUGGUUUCAAGAUGUUGUGGGUGGUUUGCGGGGGUGAUGAGGUUGUGGUGGUUGGUGGAGGUGUGUUGUGUUGCAUUGUGUAGCUCUUAGGGGGGCCAUAUGUGGGUGUGAGGGUGUUGUGGGUUUUCUGUGUUGAGUUGUGGGUGGCUUGGAGGUGUGAUGGGAGUUGUGUUGUAUUGUGUUGUAUAGCAGGUAUGUUUGCAUGUUCCAGGCCAUGGAGGGGAGCUGUGUGGGGUUGUGUUGCAGUGUGUGUUGGGGGACGGGAUGUGAUCUAGGGGGAUUGUAAUAGUGUAUGUGUGUGUCUAGCAGGACUGGGCAGGAUAGGAGUGUUUUCGACUGCUGCGUGGGUUGCGUUAAAGGUGGUGUUGCCCUGUGCUGUUGUAUUGUGGGGGGGGCGGGGGCUUGCAGUGUGUUGCCUUAUGUUAUGUUGUGGGUUGUGUUGCUUUAUAGCAUUGAGUGGCAAGUAUCAUCUUGGGGGUUGUGUGUUGCCUUUUGCAGUGUUGCUUAGUUGGCGGGUGUUUUGUGUUGCCCUGUGAUGUGGUGUGUAUGGGGUUGUGGGUUGCAUGUGGUGUGUAUGGGCACGGGUGGUUGUGUUUAUCUCUGUCAUUGUGCAUUGUCCUUUGGUGGUGUCGGGUGGCGCGUGUGUUGAGGUUGUGUGCUGCCUUGUGUUGCGCUGCCCUGGUUGUGUAUUGUGGGACUGUGUUCAGCCCUAUGUUGUUGAGCGUUGCGGUGUGAUGGGUGUGGGGUUGUGUGUAGUCCUGCAUCACUGUGCUGUUGUGUGUUGCUGUGCAGAGCAGGGUUGUCUGUUGUGUGUCGCACUGUGUUGUAUGCUGAGUGGGGUUGUGUACAGCACGGUGUGUCUCCAUGUGGGAUUGUGUUGUGGGUUGCCUUGUGUCAAUUGUGUUGAGUGUAGCUCUGUGUCAUCACAUGUUCUCAUGUGGGGUUGUGCGUACCUUGUGUUGUGGGUGUGUCAUUGUGUGUCACUGCACGAGGUUGGUUGUGCCUCGUCCUGUGUCCUUGUGUGUUGUGUGUCAUUGGGGUUGUGUGUAGCACCAUGUCCCUGUGUGUUGUGUAUCACCACAAGGUCCUCUGUGUCACCGUGUGGGGUUGUGUGUCGUCCUGUUCUGUGUUGUGUGCAUUGCAUUGUGUGUCACAAUAUAUUGUGUGUGUUUGGGCGGGGUUAUAUGUAGCCCUGUGUGUUGUAUGUCACUGUUGUCAUGUGUUGCCGUGUGUGUUGUGUGCCACUGUGUUGCCCUGUGCCCCUGUGUGUAGUUGUGUGGGGUUGUGUGUUGCUGUGUUCCUGUGUGCAUCUCCCUGUGUGUCGCCGUGUGUGUUUCCCUGUGUUUUGUGUUUCCCUGUGUCCUGGUGUGUUGUUGUGUGUCACUGUGUUGCCUUCUGUCCCUGCAUGUUGUAUGUCACUGUCAUGUAUUGCCAUAUGUUGUGUGGGGUUAUGUGUUGCCCUGUGUCCCUGUGUGUUGUGUCAUCCUGUGUAUUGUCCUGUGUGUUGUGUCGGGUUGCGUUGCCUCGUGUCCGUACGUGCUGUUGUGUGGGGUUGCGUGUUGCCCUGUUUCCCUAUGUGUUGCAUCUCCCUGUGUGUUGCCCUGCAUCCUUGUGUGUUGUUGUGUGGUGCCUUGUGUCCCUGCGCAUUGUGCUUACCCAUGUCUCAUUGUGUGUUACGUGAAGCCAUGGGCCCCUGUGUUACCCCAUGGUGCGGCCCACAGCUGCACCGGUGGCGUUGUGCUGUGUUGUGUACCCCCCCUCCCCCCCCCUCCCCCCCGCCCAGCCCACAGCCGCAAUGCGAUAGACGACAGCGCGGCCAGAGCCGACGCGCGCACACACACACGGGGAUGGAGGCGUGGAGCAAGGGCAGGUCAGAGCUGGGGGUGUCGGAGCAAGGGAGCGUGGGAAGGAGGAGGGGGGUGUCAGUUCCCUAGGGGAAGGGGGGGGCUCAGGUGUCUGGGGAGAGGGGGGAGUGGCCCAGACGCCUGGGUUCUGCAUGUGCAUGUCUGUCUGUGUGUGUGUAUGUGUGUGCGCGCAUGUCUAGCUCAUGGGCGCCUAGGGUGUGGGUGUGUAUCUUUCUCCAGAUGCCUGGGUUCUGUGUGUAUGUGGGCCUGGAUGCCUGGGUUCAGUGCGUGUCCAUCUGUCUCCCAGACGCCUGGGUUGUCUUUGUGUGGGGCCUGGAUGCCUGGGUUCAGUGUGCGUGUCCCAGAUGCCUGUGUUGUGUGUCUCUGUGGGCCUGGACACCUGAGUUCUGUGUGUGUGUGUGUUUGUGUGUGUGUGUGUGUGUGUGUGCACGCGUCUCCUGGAUGCCUGGCUUCUGAGUGGGUUGUGUGUGUGUGUCUGAUGUGUCCGUCCAGAUUCUUGGGUUCAGUGUGCAUGUAUCUGUCUUUCCCCAGACACCUGAAUUGCGUGUGUGUGUAUGUCGGAUGCUUGGGUUCCUUUUGUGUGCGUGUCUUUGUGGCUGUCUGUCUUUCUCUUGGAUGCCUGGGAGGGUGUCUUUCUCCAGACACCUGGAUGUGUGUGUGUGUGUGUGUGUAUCUGUAUCUGUCUCCUGGACGCCUGGCUCCUGGGUGUGUGUAUCCGGAUUCCUGGGUUCAGUGUGUUUGUUUGUGUCUGUCUUUCUCCCACAUGCCUGGGUUGUGUGUGGGGAGGAGGGGCAGAUGCCUGGGUUUCUUGUGUAUGUGUAUCAUGGACACCUGGGUCUGUGUGUGUCUCUCCCUGGUGCUAGGCUCUGGGUGUGUGUGUAGGCCCAGACACCUGGGUUCUCUGCCUGCACAUGUGUGUGGAGAGGGGUGUGUCUGGGCAUCGUGUGUGAGAGAGACUCGCAGUGUCAUGGUGUGUGUGUGUGCAUGAGUGUCUGGGCCAUCAGUGUGUGUGGGUGUGAGAGGGGGGCACCAUAUGUGCAGUGAGGGGUCUGUAUCUGUCUCUCUUCAGGAUGUGUGUGUGUGUGUGGGGGGACGCCUGAGUUGUGUGUGUGCCUGUGUCCUGGACGUCUGGGUUGUGUGUGCGUGUCCCAGAUGCUAUGCGUAUGCGUGCAUGUGUGCAUGGGGAUUGCCAUGGGCGGGGACGCCGGUGGCUCUGGGCUCGGGGGGGGGGGGGGGGGUGGGGGGGGGGGGGCUGAACCCCACAUUCAGGUGCCAUCAGUGAAGCCCCACCCUCAUCUGGAGCUCUGCCCCCCCACUCCAGGCUCCGCCCCCUAUCAUGGUGAGUGAUGUCACUACCUGAUCAAUACCUCCCCUAUCACCCAGAUCCAUCCCAUCCCCAAUCCAUCAACCUGCCAACAGCCAAUCAGCUCCUGGUGGCCAUGGUCUCCGGCCCCUCCGAUUGGCUCCUGGUUCACCGAGCGAAUCCCGAGCCCGGCCACUGACCCCCUAUGAACGCUCCCUGGACGCGGCCGUGGCCUGGACAUGGCAGGAGGUGGCCAAGAUCCCACCAGCCCCAGCCUGUGUCCCACCCUGCGGCUACCAGCAGGAUGCCCAGGUCUAUAAAUGCGCUGUCUGCCGAUUGUGGACUGCCAGCUGCCCCUGGACUGCCCGGUGGAGGAUGUGUGGCGCGAGGAGGGUGACCGGGUGUCCCUGCGCUGCUCCCUGCCUUUUCCAACACCCCCAGAUGUGGUGGCCACGUGGGGUUUCGCCAAGGACGUGCGCAGCCAGGACCUGUCGUUAUUCGGGGAGGCGGGGGUGGCUGGAGGCUUGGCCCGGGGGUUCGUGAUCCGGUCAGCCCAGGCCUUGCAACGCGGCACCUUCCUCUGCCGGCUCCAUGCUGGGGCCCAGCUGCUCGCCCGGCGCUACUUCUACCUCAACGGUGCGGUGGAUGCGUGGGGCCCUGGAGCCCGGACACCAGGGUCCUGUGGGGGCUGGGGGGGUUGACAAUAGGCGGACCUGGGCACCUGGAUCCUUUAGGAGGGCCAACGGGGCCCGUGGGAGGUAGAGUUGUGGGGCAGGGACCCCGGAUGCCUGGAUUCUCUCCAUCUUGGGGGGAAUGGGGGUGAGAGCAGGGGGGGCUGGGAGGCUGGACACCUGGGUUCUCCGGGCAGGCGGUGGGGCUGGUUUGGGGGUCAGUCCAGGCCUCCCCAGAUGCUGGGGUUCCCUCUGCACUAGGGAGUGACCCGGUGCUGGGGUUUGCUGUGCCCACAGUGACGGCGCGCCGGGGGGGGCCCGGAGCAGGGGCUGCAAGCCACGUUCGGGGCGGUGCUGGCGGCAGGCUCCGGGGGGCCAGGGGGAAGUGGAGAGGGCCAGGCUGGGUCUGCGGGCCCUGCUGGCUGCCCCUGGCUCUCUGCACUCCCGUCCAGCUCUGCUGCUGGGCCUGGGGCUGGCGCUCAGCGCCUUGCUGGGCACCCUGCUGCUGGGGUGAGUUCCCCCACCACUCCUCAUUGAUCGGCCCCAUGGACUCUCUCCCCCCCCCAUGGCCCCCAGUGGACUUUCCCACUUCCCCAUAGACCAGCUCGUGGACUCUCCCAUCCCCCCGCCCCCCUACCCAGGGGCGGUCUUGAGGGCUUACCCCUGAGCCCCAGUGACGUGUCUCCUCCCCCGCAGGGCAGCGCUGUAUUGGCUGUGGACGGAGUCAUGAACCCCACUAUGGACCACAAUAAACUCAACCCCAGUAGCCUCGUUCUGGGCUGGGGGGCUCAGACGCCUGGGUUCCUUUUUGGGGGGGUCUUGCCCGGCCUUGUGGGGGGCGGGCUCGGACGCCUGGGCUCUCUAGGUGAAGGGCAGGGUUCAAUCCAGCCACCCUGGAAGUUCCCACGGGGAGCCCCGCCCCCUAUUCCACAGGAUGUCCUUGUAUGGGCUGUGACGUCAGGGCGGGGAUCCCCCUCCGCCGGCUCCGCCCCCUGGCGGCGAAGCGGCGCCGCGUGGCCAGAGCAGAAGCAGCAGCGGCCAGGACUGCAACGAGGAGCAGAGGACCCCAGGCGUCCAAGGCCAUGCGGGAGGAGGGUGGAGGCAGGCGCCCGGUUCCUGGCGCAGCUGCUGAUGCGGGGGAUACCUGGGGGGACGGAGGAGCUAGGUGCCCACCUGGCCACGGCCCUGAGCCAGCGCUACCACAGCCACUGGUACCCCGGCCCAGCCGGCCCGUGGCCAGGCCUACAGGUGUAUCCGCAUCGAGGCAGGGACACGGGCAGAUGCAGCUCUGGUGGGGGCUGCCCAGGCCGCAGGGCUGGACUGGGCCAUGCUAACGCUGCCCCCCGACCUCGCCCUCUGGAUCGACCCUGGCGAGGUCAGCUGCAGGCUGGGUGAACACAACCCCCCGUUCCGGAUUGGGCCGCUGGUGACCUCCGACCCCGAGACCCCAGAGAGCCCUCAGCCUCGCCAACCCUGUCGGACAUGACCUCAUCAGUGAUGUCAUCAGAGGAUGAAGCCCCACCCCCACAGCGACGACCAUGCCCCAGUCGCACCCUGCCGCGGAAGCCCUGUGCCCAGGCAUGCGAGGUGCUGUACGUCCCAGCCCCACUGUGGCUACCUGGCCCCCAGCCCCUGGUGGGCUUCGUCCCCUCCCUGCCCCCCCUCACCCUCCUCUACCUCGGGGGGCUGGGAGGGGCCCCCAAGCUCUCCCGGCCCAAGAAGCCAAGUCCUGAGCGGCUCCGGAGACUCACCCACCGCACGGGCCGGGCCUGACCUCUCCCCUCGAAGGGUUGUUGACUGCCUGGGCUGAGACCAGGUGAAACUCUGGACAAGUGACAGCUGCUCCUGGAUGCCUGGGUUCUCCCCAGCUCUGCAGGGAAGGAUGGGCUGGGGGGCCAGGGACCCCAGACACCUGGGUCCUGUGAAGACAGGGGGUCUGGGGGCCCGGACACCUGGGUUCUCUGGGGGGGGUGAGAGCAGGGGGGCCUGGGGGCCCGGACGCCUGGGUUUAUUGCCUGGUUCCUACCUCAGCUGUACAGAGUCAUUGGUGCCUUUAACUUAUCUCGUCCCUGGGUCUGUCCAGGCUGUUGUGGGCGGGGCCAUAUUUACAUAUGCAGUUUUUUAGGGGAGGGGCCAUAAACUCCCAUUUGUAAUAAAAAGCCUUAAAAUGUUAAUAAGCGCG